AAAUUUCCACGACGACGCGACUCUGUUUGUUGAUUUCUCGCCGAAGCUCUCCAAUAUCGACCACCAGCCAGAAGUUUACGAAGGUUAAUAGGAAAGACCAAUCAGAUUAUCAUCUGCCGUCUUCGUUCAAACGUUUGAAAAAGAAAGAAGACAAUGAGCGAACACAACUCUUCCACCUUCUAAGUUAUACACAACUUCGAAUCCCAGGAGGAAAGCUAUCGAUCGAUUGCGGGAGUAAGGGCGGGCGGAAUGGCGGGGAGAGAGGUGUUUUGGACCGAUUUCGAUUGUUGCGAUCUUGUUCGACAUGGUGAUUCCUGGGUUUUCUGCUCCGGUGCCGACGAGUGAUGGUUUGUUUAUUUUUAUUUCUAUCUUUUUCAUCUAAGCUUCUGUUAGAUCUGUUGAUUAGAUCCUAUUUUUUGUUUGUUUGUUUCAACUGAUUUCUCGGACCUCGAUUUAUGUUUUGUUUUAUUUGUCUCCAUCUCUGUUUAUUUUUGUGUUUGUCUCCAUCUCGAAUCUGUUCACUUCCUGCUCGAUCAAAUUUUCUCCAUCCGUUUUUUCCCCUCUGUUUUGAAUUUCGUGAAUCAAUCUUCGCCAUUGGGAUUUUGUUUGAAUCGAGUUUCGGGAAUGAUUUUAAUUAACUGUUGAUAAAUUAGCAUGUUAAUUUGAUUUCCCAAAUCAAUUUCCCCAAAUCAAUUAAAUUGAUUUUCCCCAAAUAUUUCUUUCCAUAUUUUUGAUUUGCAUGAAUCGAGAAAAGGGUCGAUUGGCUACAAAUUAAGCAAAAAAUAAUAAUAAACAAUAAAUAAAAAUAUCAAAAUUCCACAACUCCUUUUCCGUCCGCACAUGGAUCCUCUGAUAAGUAGGUGUUGGGCUUUAAAACAACAAUUAGACUACUACCCACCAUUGGAAAAUUUAAUCGCGUUUAUCCAAGAGGAUGCGAUGGGGAAAGCAGCAUUACUGGAUAAAACAUUAAUCCUUAUCAGAAUUUUCGGAGAGCCCAGUUCCAAUGAUAUCUGCAUAAGACUCAUCAGGAGGUACUGGAAUCCGACUCUCCCUUAUUUCAUCAAGAAAGCUGAGAGGAAUUCAUAUGUCAUAAGUUUUACUGGGGAGGAGGAUUUUAAAUUAAUUGGUUCGAAACAGUGGGAUUGGUUUGGGGAGAAUGUCGUGAUGGUCAGACACUGGUUCUCAAGGAUAGAUACCUUCGAGGAAGCUCUCGAUUAGAUACCAAAGAAGCUUAGAUUAAUUAACAUGCCAGAAUUUUUAUACAGUACAGAGGCAGUUAGCAGAAUCAGCAGUACUCUAGGCUUUCCCAUUGAAGGUCGUUUGAGCACGGGAGCUGAUUUUUGCAAUCCUCUUGCGAAGAAAAUCACGUCAUCUGCAAACUCGAGGUGGGAUAUCACCUUUGCCCCACCAAUGAUGAAGAGUUUCAUCCUUCCCUUUUCCACCUUAAUUUUUGUGAGACGCCCAAGACAAUUAUAAAAGGUAGCGGUGAUAGUGGGUCGCCUGGGAUGGGAAACGAGGAACGAGCCUAACUCUAACUCGUUUAUUAAACAAGCUUGGAGAAAAACUCAGACUUGGCUCGUUUAGCUUUUUUUUGUAUGAAUUUUUAUUCAUUUUUCAAAUUUUGGUUGGUGGAUUCUGUUCAGAAUAACAAUUUCCAGAAAGGAAGUGAUGAACACAGUUGUCAAUCUCAAUCAAACUACAACCUGCUUGUUUUUGUAUGUCUUGCUCAUCCAUCAAUCUUCGAAUGAUGGUAGCAUUUUCCCACCGUUUCCGAGCUGUGUGCAUCUUAGAGACCAAGACAAAUCCACCAGCACUGUGUUCGGAUUCCAGAAUUUUUCUGGCUAGAAAUAACGAGUCAUCUUUUAAAAAUCCAUCGUUACAUUCACCUCGUGCUUCUUUCUUGUGAUGAUUGUCCAAAAGACUCCUCCAGAUGACAAUGUCGGGUUCGCAG
RNAcentral lists this long non-coding RNA (1951 nucleotides) under Zostera marina. RNAcentral's name for it is "long non-coding RNA (ZMAR_LNC002604)". The record is from RNAcentral. Lineage: Eukaryota; Viridiplantae; Streptophyta; Magnoliopsida; Alismatales; Zosteraceae.